This is a non-coding RNA of Microcebus murinus (gray mouse lemur), 1851 nucleotides long. The record is from RefSeq and is a predicted model, not a curated record. NCBI's taxonomy places the organism in Eukaryota, Metazoa, Chordata, Mammalia, Primates, Cheirogaleidae.
UGUAGCUCUGACUUGGGUAGUACAAAGAUAAUAUAAUAAAUUUAUCAAGACUUACACAGCUACACAUUUACAGCUAUCAGGUAUAUGGUGCUAUUUGCAGCCAACAAAAAUAUAAACAAAUAUAAAGAUGCAGUGUGAAAGUAUAACUGCAUAAAAUUAACUGUAGUACAGAUUGUACUAGAGAAAUAAUUUUGUAGCCAUCUCCUGUUGCUACUGCAGCCAGUCCAAGUAUUUGAGUAUCUACUUGAGACACCAACUAUAUGACACUAAUCAUUUCCACAAGAGCAGUUCAUCUCUCCAGUAAAUUGCUUAUCCAGGUAAAAGGUGAUCUCUUAUGGUUCUUGUGUAUAUUUUAUCAUGUUUAAUGCAAUCCAUAAACCUUGCAAAACAACCUGGGACCCAUACAAAUUGUCUGUAGGGAUGCUGGAAGUACUCCCAAGAAGCAAGGUCGUGAUAUUACAAGAAAAAAGUUGAAUUGCUUGUUAUGUACCUUAGAUUGAGGUCUGCAGCUGCAGUUGCCUGCCGUUUCAAGUUAAAUGAAUCCAGUGUAAGGACCAUAGUAAAUAAGCAAAAGGAACUUCAUGAAGACCUCACUGCAGCUACACCAGCAAGUGUAAAAUCUAACAUUUUUUGUGACAUACCCUUUUAUCUCAUAGUGAAAAUGCAGCUUUUAUGUGAGUGCAGAUUGCUAUAAGAAAGGCAUACCUGUAGACUGUAAUAUACUUCUUCAAGAAAAAGUGAAGUUAUUCUCUGACAACUUAAACCAAAAGGAAUGUGAAAGAUCUAAAGCUGGAGAAUUUAAUGUCAGCAAAAGAUGGUUUGACAUUUUAGAAAGAGAUUUGGCUUAAAAUUUCUCAAGAUAACAAAAGAAACAGCUUCUGCUGACCAAGAUGCAGCAGAUGAGUUCCCACAUGUCAUUUAAGAAAGGCUACUUUCUUGAACAGGUUUUAAUGUAGACAAAAGUGCCUUAUUGUGGGGGAAAAUGCCACACAGACAUUUAAUAGGAAGGACGAGAAGCAAGCACCGGGAUUUAAGACAGGAAAGAAUAGUCUAACUCUGAUGUUUCAUGCCCAUACAGUCAAAUUUAUGAUCAAGACUGCCCUUAUCUAUACAGCUGCUAGCUAACCCCUAGGUCUUGAAGGGAAAAGAUAAACCAGCUUCCAGUCUUUUGCUUGUACAAGGAGAUGUGGACAAUGAGACCCUUUUUCUGGAUUGGUUCUACUGAUGCUUUGUUCCUGAUAUCAAAAAGUACUUUGUCAGUAAGAAACUGACUUUUUACGUUCUUUUGAUGUUGGAAAAUGCUUCAGGCCACCCAGAAGCCCAUGGGUUCAACACUUCAGGCAUUGGCAUGGUCUACUUGCCCCCAAAACAAUAUCUCUAAUUCAGCCUCUAGAUCAGGGAGUCACAAGGACACUUAAGGCUCAUUACACAUGGUACUCUGUGGGAAGGAUGGUCAAUGUUAUGGAAGAGAACUCCAAUAGACAACAUCACGUAAGUCCAGAAGGAUUAUCCCAUUGAAGGUGCUAUGUUGUUAGAUAGAAAAGUGUAUGAAAGCCAUCAAGCUCAAAACAAUAAAUUCCUGCUGGAGAAAACUAUAUCUAGAUGUUGUAUAUGAAUUCAUAGGGUUUAUGACAGAGCCAGUCAAUGAAAUCAUGAAAGUGAUUUUGAAUAUGGCAAAAAAAAUAAGGACUAAAAAGUUAGACGAUAUGGAUCUUGGGGAAAUUCAAGAGCUAAUAGACACCACCACACCAGAGAAAUUAACGGAAGAGGACUUAAUGGAGAUGAGUAGUUCUGAACCAGUGCCAGAGGGAGGAAGAAGACAUAGAAACAGUGCCAGAAAACAAAUUGACA